This 1368-nucleotide ribosomal RNA is filed under the name bacterium 402. RNAcentral's name for it is "16S ribosomal RNA". It matches the Rfam family "Bacterial small subunit ribosomal RNA". The record is from RNAcentral.
CCUGGCUCAGGAUGAACGCUGGCGGCGUGCUUAACACAUGCAAGUCGAACGAUGAGGCCCACUUGUGGGUGGAUUAGUGGCGAACGGGUGAGUAACACGUGAGUAACCUGCCCUUGACUCUGGGAUAAGCCUGGGAAACUGGGUCUAAUACCGGAUAUGACCUUCCAUCGCAUGGUGGUUGGUGGAAAGCUUUUGUGGUUUUGGAUGGACUCGCGGCCUAUCAGCUUGUUGGUGGGGUAAUGGCCUACCAAGGCGACGACGGGUAGCCGGCCUGAGAGGGUGACCGGCCACACUGGGACUGAGACACGGCCCAGACUCCUACGGGAGGCAGCAGUGGGGAAUAUUGCACAAUGGGCGGAAGCCUGAUGCAGCGACGCCGCGUGAGGGAUGACGGCCUUCGGGUUGUAAACCUCUUUCAGUAGGGAAGAAGCGAGAGUGACGGUACCUGCAGAAGAAGCGCCGGCUAACUACGUGCCAGCAGCCGCGGUAAUACGUAGGGCGCAAGCGUUAUCCGGAAUUAUUGGGCGUAAAGAGCUCGUAGGCGGUUUGUCGCGUCUGCCGUGAAAGUCCGGGGCUCAACUCCGGAUCUGCGGUGGGUACGGGCAGACUAGAGUGAUUAGGGGAGACUGGAAUUCCUGGUGUAGCGGUGAAAUGCGCAGAUAUCAGGAGGAACACCGAUGGCGAAGGCAGGUCUCUGGGCAUUAACUGACGCUGAGGAGCGAAAGCAUGGGGAGCGAACAGGAUUAGAUACCCUGGUAGUCCAUGCCGUAAACGUUGGGCACUAGGUGUGGGGGACAUUCCACGUUUUCCGCGCCGUAGCUAACGCAUUAAGUGCCCCGCCUGGGGAGUACGGCCGCAAGGCUAAAACUCAAAGGAAUUGACGGGGGCCCGCACAAGCGGCGGAGCAUGCGGAUUAAUUCGAUGCAACGCGAAGAACCUUACCAAGGCUUGACAUGAACCGGACCGGGCUGGAAACAGUCUUUCCCCUUGUGGGCUGGUUUACAGGUGGUGCAUGGUUGUCGUCAGCUCGUGUCGUGAGAUGUUGGGUUAAGUCCCGCAACGAGCGCAACCCUCGUUCUAUGUUGCCAGCACGUGAUGGUGGGGACUCAUAGGAGACUGCCGGGGUCAACUCGGAGGAAGGUGGGGACGACGUCAAAUCAUCAUGCCCCUUAUGUCUUGGGCUUCACGCAUGCUACAAUGGCCGGUACAAAGGGUUGCGAUACUGUGAGGUGGAGCUAAUCCCAAAAAGCCGGUCUCAGUUCGGAUUGGGGUCUGCAACUCGACCCCAUGAAGUCGGAGUCGCUAGUAAUCGCAGAUCAGCAACGCUGCGGUGAAUACGUUCCCGGGCCUUGUACACACCGCCCGUCA